GUAACAAGGUUUCCGUAGGUGAACCUGCGGAAGGAUC
Molecule: non-coding RNA, 37 nt
Filed under: Sus scrofa (pig)
Lineage: Eukaryota; Metazoa; Chordata; Mammalia; Artiodactyla; Suidae
Also listed under: 5 other names
Source: RNAcentral